UACAGAGGGGGCAAGCGUUGUUCGGAAUUACUGGGCGUAAAGGGCGCGUAGGCGGCCUUCUAAGUCGAACGUGAAAUCCCCGGGCUCAACCCGGGAACUGCGUCCGAUACUGGAAGGCUUGAAUCCGGGAGAGGGAUGUGGAAUUCCAGGUGUAGCGGUGAAAUGCGUAGAUAUCUGGAGGAACACCGGUGGCGAAGGCGACAUCCUGGACCGGGUAUUG
This 220-nucleotide ribosomal RNA is filed under the name uncultured bacterium. RNAcentral's name for it is "partial 16S ribosomal RNA". It matches the Rfam family "Bacterial small subunit ribosomal RNA", at positions 524 to 742 of the family's 1533-position model. The record is from RNAcentral.